CAGGACUGGAAAUGUACCCUCUGAGCAGCAUGGACACUGCUACAUCUGUUACUUUUGUUGGUGUUAUGGGAUUGAGAUCCUACUACUAUGAAGAAUCAUGCCUGUAGGUUUAAUUGCAGGUGCCAGUUUGCUGAUGGCCGCCAAAGUUGGAGUUCGU
Non-coding RNA from Chlorocebus sabaeus (green monkey), 157 nucleotides. NCBI's taxonomy places the organism in Eukaryota, Metazoa, Chordata, Mammalia, Primates, Cercopithecidae. The record is from RefSeq and is a predicted model, not a curated record.